RNAcentral lists this ribosomal RNA (217 nucleotides) under uncultured bacterium. RNAcentral describes it as "partial 16S ribosomal RNA". It matches the Rfam family "Bacterial small subunit ribosomal RNA", at positions 328 to 539 of the family's 1533-position model. The record is from RNAcentral.
ACGCUCGACACCUACGGAGGCAGCAGUGAGGAAUAUUGGUCAAUGGGCGCUAGCCUGAACCAGCCAAGUAGCGUGAAGGAUGAAGGCUCUAUGGGUCGUAAACUUCUUUUAUAUAAGAAUAAAGUGCAGUAUGUAUACUGUUUUGUAUGUAUUAUAUGAAUAAGGAUCGGCUAACUCCGUGCCAGAAGCCGCGGUAAUCUGAGCGGGCUGGCAAGGC